GUCAACACAAAGGACCAGGAGGUUUCACCCGCCACCACCACUGCAGGGACGACGGCGGUGAUGACUGAGAAGAAGAAGGAACCAUGGUGGCGCCGGUUUUGUCGUGUUUCCUUCAAGUAGUGUCAAUAGCUCUGUGUCUGUCUGUCUCUGUCUGAGUGUCCGUGUGUCCGUCCGAGUGUCACGGAAAAGUGUCCAAGUGUCUGUAUCUCUCUGUGUGUGUCUCUGUGUCUCUCUCUCUCUCUCUCUCUCUCUCUCUCUCUCUCUCUCUCUCUCUCUCUCUCUCUCUCUCCCUCUCUCCCUCUCUCUCUCUCUCUCUGUCUCUCUCUGUCUCUCCCCCUCUCUCCCCGGCCGGCCAGCAGCAGAUGGGUCCCCCCACAUGAGUCUGGUUCUGCUCAAGGUUUUUUCUUCCCUGUUAAAAGGGUUCUUUCCUUGCCACUGUCGCCUUCAGGCUUGCUCUGUGGGGGUUCAGGCCAUAGGGGUUCUCUCAAGCUUUUUGACACAAUCUGAACUGCAAUUGGCGCUAUGUAAAUAAAAUUGCAUUAAACUGAACUGAAUGUACUUUUGAUCGUUUCUUGAAUAAGUGUAUAAAAAUUUGACAUCAA
Molecule: long non-coding RNA, 602 nt
Organism: Acanthochromis polyacanthus (spiny chromis)
Lineage: Eukaryota; Metazoa; Chordata; Actinopteri; Pomacentridae
Exons: 2
Source: RefSeq, a predicted model, not a curated record